UACGUAGGGAGCAAGCGUUGUCCGGAAUCAUUGGGCGUAAAGCGUGCGUAGGCGGCUGCGCAAGUCGGUUGUGAAACCCCGGGGCUCAACCCCGGAACUGCAUCCGAUACUGCGUGGCUAGAGGUAGGUAGGGGAGAUCGGAAUUCCUGGUGUAGCGGUGAAAUGCGCAGAUAUCAGGAGGAACACCGGUGGCGAAGGCGGAUCUCUGGGCCUUACCUGACGCUCAGGCACGAAAGCUAGGGGAGCGAACAGG
Molecule: ribosomal RNA, 253 nt
Filed under: uncultured bacterium
Lineage: Bacteria
Description: partial 16S ribosomal RNA
Rfam family: Bacterial small subunit ribosomal RNA
Source: RNAcentral